UGACUGCUUGCCCCUAUGUUCUCCUACGAAGUGGGUUCCCAGGCUUUUUAUUUUUUUAGUCCUCUCGUCUGCUAGCAAUUUAGGCCUUGUUUAGAUACACCCAAAAACUCAAAACUUUACAAGAUUUCCCAUCACAUCGAAUCUUACGGCACAUGCAUGGAGCAUUAAAUAUAGAUAAAAAAUAAAAACUAAUUACACAGUUUGUCUGUAAAUCGCG
Molecule: long non-coding RNA, 217 nt
Filed under: Sorghum bicolor (sorghum)
Lineage: Eukaryota; Viridiplantae; Streptophyta; Magnoliopsida; Poales; Poaceae
Description: long non-coding RNA (SBIC_LNC013136)
Source: RNAcentral